RNAcentral lists this ribosomal RNA (430 nucleotides) under uncultured bacterium. RNAcentral's name for it is "bacterial SSU rRNA". It matches the Rfam family "Bacterial small subunit ribosomal RNA", at positions 354 to 776 of the family's 1533-position model. The record is from RNAcentral.
GUGGGGAAUAUUGCACAAUGGGCGCAAGCCUGAUGCAGCCAUGCCGCGUGUAUGAAGAAGGCCUUCGGGUUGUAAAGUACUUUCAGCGGGGAGGAAGGCGAUGAGGUUAAUAACCUCGUCGAUUGACGUUACCCGCAGAAGAAGCACCGGCUAACUCCGUGCCAGCAGCCGCGGUAAUACGGAGGGUGCAAGCGUUAAUCGGAAUUACUGGGCGUAAAGCGCACGCAGGCGGUCUGUCAAGUCAGAUGUGAAAUCCCCGGGCUUAACCUGGGAACUGCAUUUGAAACUGGCAGGCUAGAGUCUUGUAGAGGGGGGUAGAAUUCCAGGUGUAGCGGUGAAAUGCGUAGAGAUCUGGAGGAAUACCGGUGGCGAAGGCGGCCCCCUGGACAAAGACUGACGCUCAGGUGCGAAAGCGUGGGGAGCAAACAGG